AAUAAAAAAGGAAAUGAAGUUUGUGGUUAUUGUUACUUAAAAGCCAUUGAGCUUGAAUUUUGUUCAUAUCUGUAUUCUGUUAGCUUGUUUUCUCUUCCAUCUUUAAUUCUUCAAGCUCCAACUUUGCCUUUGAAAGUUGAUGAAAAUGACUACUGUUCUAAAGCAGUUGUUGAAGAGUUUUUGCACCAAUUCACCUUGGAUAUACGCUGUGCUUUGGAAGCUUAGGCACUUGAGUCCCAUGGGGUUGACCUGGGAAGAUGAGUAUUGUGUUUAUCCAAUGCCAUCAGAGAUGAUCCCAUCACAGUUUGAAGCAAGCAUCGACGACUGUUGUUUUGGAGGGUACCAAAUUGGCCUACUGCUGACAAAUAUGUUGAAUCUUAAGUAUGCAUGGGGAGAGGGGGUUGUUGGUAAAGUGGCAUGUACUGGGAAGCAUUGCUGGGUUUCGUAUGACGAUAUUUUCACCGGCGAAGCUGACUCGAAUUCGUUUUCAGAGUGUCCAGAGGAAUGGCUACUUCAGUUUGCAUCAGGAUUCAAGAGUAUUGUACUGGUACCCGUGCUUCCACAUGGAGUUCUUCAACUUGGUUCACUGGAGAUGGUCAAUGAAGAUUUGUCCAUUGUUGCAUACAUCAAAGAUAGAUUUGCCUACAUUCAUGCACAGUUUCCUCCAUCAUUGCUAAUGUCAAGAUUUUCCGAGAAGUUAGAAGAGUCUUCAAGCGCAUCAGUUAGUCCGCUGAACUCCGAAGAUUCAAAUACUGUUUUUAGUAUUCGGAAUGCAUUUAAGGUGCCUGGAACGGAUCUGCCUGAACUUCUUGAAAGUGAAUGCAAAAAUAUUAGUGUCCCACCAAUUAGCCUAAGUGAAGUGUCAUCGCCACUAAGCCAAUCUAUAAGUUCCAGCCAAUUAGCAACGCAGGAGACCAAACUACAUGGCUCGUCUCGUCUUAAGGAGGAAUCGCAAGUGUUUCCUGAAUGUAAUACUCACGCAGUGGGAGCAAACGAAGAAAUCUUCCAUGGAAUUGAAAAUCUUUACCCUGCCAAAGAUCCACUGACACCACCUUUUGAAAACUACCAUGCAGAUGAUGCUUGUUACCUUAGCUUCCCCGAAGAUUGUGAAUUGCACAAAGCACUUGGACCGGCUUUUCGAAGAGACAGCAAUGAGUACUUGUGGGAGUCGUCUCUUUUAAGUGAGAAGGUAUUGAGUGAUCUCUUUGAUGGAAAUGAACUCCUCUUGUCUGCCAAAGUAGGUGAUGCGGAGUAUUUGUUGCAAGCAGUAGUAGGCCAAGUAUAUGAUAUCGCUAACAUAUCCGAUCAUGCCAUGACAUCUACCACACAACUUCCUUCUCAACCUCAAAGUGUAAAGGACGAUCCCACUCCAUUGAGAAGACUUACAUCUCCGGAAUAUGUUGGAGUCGAUUCUAGUCCUAAAAUGACAGCCUCUUCCGAGAGUACAAUAAGCAUGUUAACUGAUAACGAUAAUCCAGAAAAAGGUUUCGAUUACACACGUUCCAGGAAAGGACAAAAGCCGUCCACCGUCAAUAAAAGAAAGGCUAGAGCUGGUGAUAAGCCAAGGACGAGGCCAAGGGACAGACAGUUGAUCCAUGAUCGGCUUAAGGAGCUGCGAGAACUUGUCCCGAAUGGUGCUAAGUAUAGCAUUGAUGCUCUCUUGGAUCAAACAGUUCACCACAUGAUGUAUUUGACAAGUGUGACAAACCGAGCUGACAAAUUGAGGCAAUGGGUGUACGGAGAGGUGACUGCUCGGAAAAAUGUGAGAUCAUCUGAAAUAAAAAAUGGUUACCACCAAAACCGAACGAGCUGUGGUUUUGAGAUACGAGAUGAACUGAAAGUAUGCCCCAUAGUUGUGGAAGAUCUUGCACACCAAGGCCACUUGCUCAUUGAGUCCGCAUUCGUUGCAGAUGCUUUGCGACGAGCACGGUCUGUUUCUAGAGAUUGCUCAGGUGAUCCGGAGUUUUAAUUUAACGAUCCUGAAAGGUGUGAUGGAGAGCUCUUCGAACAAUACAUGGGCUCAUUUCGUCGUCGAGGCUUCAAAGGAUUUUCAUAGACUGCAUAUUUUCUGGCCUCUGAUGCAGCUUUUACAGCGUCAAAGGAAUCUGCACAAGGCUUUAUAACCAAAAGAUGGAGUAUUUGUCCGCACAACGUUUGCAUGACGGAAUGAGACAAAACUAGUGAUCAUGUAUAUGCUUGAAUGGAUAAUCUACUCUUAACAAAGGCUGCUGAAAUUAGUUUGUACGGUUAUCAGUUGGACUGUUAUCCAAUUGUUGUUAAUCUCUUUGAAAUUAGUUAGGCCUUUCUGGGUUAGUUACAUAUCAGACUAUAUAUACCAGCCCAUG
This is an RNA transcript of Hibiscus syriacus, 2345 nucleotides long. It is a transcript of the gene named transcription factor EMB1444-like, with no coding region annotated. The transcript is spliced from 10 exons. The record is from RefSeq and is a predicted model, not a curated record. Lineage: Eukaryota; Viridiplantae; Streptophyta; Magnoliopsida; Malvales; Malvaceae.